GAAGAAGUGAAGGCUUUUCUAGUUACAUGUAGCUGAAAAGAUGUGAACUUCUGAUUUUGCUGUAGCUUCUAAUAUGCUAACCUUAAUGAUUUCAUUAUAUGCGACAAACUCAGUAAUGUACCAUCCUUGGGCAAACAGGCAUUUUGAAUGUUAUGAAGGUACAUUUCUUUUGGCUUUUGAUGUGCAGCUCUACAAAACCAAAGGGAAGCAGCUGUAUCUGAACUAUUAAGAGAUAAGGAUGAGUAAAACCUGGAACAAUUUACUAAGAUAAUGAAGACUCUCCCAAGUGGUGCUUCUGAACAAACACAGGGCAAUGAAAGGAGAGGCUAACAUCACUUAAUUUUUAAGGUAAUGCUUAUACUAGUCUUUGUCAAAUGUAUGUUUCCCUAUAUGCUGAUCA
Molecule: long non-coding RNA, 400 nt
Filed under: Gopherus agassizii (Agassiz's desert tortoise)
Lineage: Eukaryota; Metazoa; Chordata; Testudines; Testudinidae
Description: lncRNA (ENSGAGG00000025724.1)
Source: RNAcentral